Molecule: ribosomal RNA, 478 nt
Filed under: uncultured bacterium
Lineage: Bacteria
Description: partial 16S ribosomal RNA
Rfam family: Bacterial small subunit ribosomal RNA
Source: RNAcentral
GACGAACGCUGGCGGCGUGCUUAACACAUGCAAGUCGAACGGAAAGGCCCUUCGGGGUACUCGAGUGGCGAACGGGGGAGUAACACGUGGGUGAUCUGCCCUGCACUUUGGGAUAAGCCUGGGAAACUGGGUCUAAUACCGAAUAGGACCGCAUGCUUCAUGGUGUGGGGUGGAAAGCUUUUGCGGUGUGGGAUGGGCCCGCGGCCUAUCGGGUUGUUGGUGGGGUAAUGGCCUACCAAGGCGACGACGGGUAGCCGGCCUGAGAGGGUGACCGGCCACACUGGGACUGAGAUACGGCCCAGACUCCUACGGGAGGCAGCAGUGGGGAAUAUUGCACAAUGGGCGCAAGCCUGAUGCAGCGACGCCGCGUGAGGGAUGACGGCCUUCGGGUUGUAAACCUCUUUCAGCAGGGACGAAGCGCAAGUGACGGUACCUGCAGAAGAAGGACCGGCCAACUACGUGCCAGCCGCCGCAGUAA